This 254-nucleotide ribosomal RNA is filed under the name uncultured bacterium. RNAcentral's name for it is "partial 16S ribosomal RNA". It matches the Rfam family "Bacterial small subunit ribosomal RNA", at positions 524 to 776 of the family's 1533-position model. The record is from RNAcentral.
UACAGAGGGUGCAAGCGUUGUUCGGAAUCACUGGGCGUAAAGCGCGCGCAGGCGGAUGGAGCAAGUCUGGAGUGAAAUCUCGCCGCUCAACGGCGGGGCUGCUUUGGAUACUGCACGUCUAGGGACCGGUAGAGGCUGGUAGAAUUGCUGGUGUAGCGGUGGAAUGCGUAGAUAUCAGCAAGAAUACCCGUGGCGAAGGCGGCCAGCUGGGCCGGAUCCGACGCUGAGGCGCGAAAGCGUGGGGAGCAAACAGG